RNAcentral lists this ribosomal RNA (497 nucleotides) under uncultured bacterium. RNAcentral describes it as "partial 16S ribosomal RNA". It matches the Rfam family "Bacterial small subunit ribosomal RNA", at positions 28 to 507 of the family's 1533-position model. The record is from RNAcentral.
GAUGAACGCUGGCGGCGUGCCUAAUACAUGCAAGUCGAGCGAACGGACGAGAAGCUUGCUUCUCUGAUGUUAGCGGCGGACGGGUGAGUAACACGUGGAUAACCUACCUAUAAGACUGGGAUAACUUCGGGAAACCGGAGCUAAUACCGGAUAAUAUUUUGAACCGCAUGGUUCAAAAGUGAAAGACGGUCUUGCUGUCACUUAUAGAUGGAUCCGCGCUGCAUUAGCUAGUUGGUAAGGUAACGGCUUACCAAGGCAACGAUGCAUAGCCGACCUGAGAGGGUGAUCGGCCACACUGGAUCUGAGACACGGUCCAGACUCCGACGGGAGGCAGCAGUAGGGAAUCUUCCGCAAUGGGCGAAAGCCUGACGGUGCACCGCCGCGUGAGUGAUGAUGGUCUUCGGAUCGUAAAACUCUGUUAUUAGGGAAGAACAUAUGUGUAAGUAACUGUGCACAUCUUGACGGUACCUAAUCAGAAAGCCACGGCUAACUACGUG